This 113-nucleotide transfer RNA is filed under the name Ameiurus melas (black bullhead). It matches the Rfam family "tRNA". From Rfam's summary of the family: Transfer RNA (tRNA) molecules are approximately 80 nucleotides in length. Their secondary structure includes four short double-helical elements and three loops (D, anti-codon, and T loops). Further hydrogen bonds mediate the characteristic L-shaped molecular structure. tRNAs have two regions of fundamental functional importance: the anti-codon, which is responsible for specific mRNA codon recognition, and the 3' end, to which the tRNAs corresponding amino acid is attached (by aminoacyl-tRNA synthetases). tRNAs cope with the degeneracy of the genetic code in two manners: having more than one tRNA (with a specific anti-codon) for a particular amino acid; and 'wobble' base-pairing, i.e. permitting non-standard base-pairing at the 3rd anti-codon position. Lineage: Eukaryota; Metazoa; Chordata; Actinopteri; Siluriformes; Ictaluridae. The record is from Rfam by way of RNAcentral.
GUCAGGAUGGCCGAGCGGUCUAAGGCGCCAGACUCAAGGAUUACGCCUUCUCUUGGUUAAAGGAGGUUUCUGGUCUCCGAGUGGGCGCGUGGGUUCAAAUCCCACUCCUGACA